This 253-nucleotide ribosomal RNA is filed under the name uncultured bacterium. RNAcentral's name for it is "partial 16S ribosomal RNA". It matches the Rfam family "Bacterial small subunit ribosomal RNA", at positions 524 to 776 of the family's 1533-position model. The record is from RNAcentral.
UACGUAGGGUGCAAGCGUUGAUCGGAAUUACUGGGCGUAAAGCGUGCGCAGGCGGUUAUGUAAGACAGAUGUGAAAUGCCCGGGCUUAACCUGGGAACUGCAUUUGUGACUGCAUGGCUAGAGUUUGGCAGAGGGGGGUAGAAUUCCACGUGUAGCAGUGAAAUGCGUAGAUAUGUGGAGGAACACCGAUGGCGAAGGCAGCCCCCUGGGUCAAGAUUGACGCUCAUGCACGAAAGCGUGGGGAGCAAACAGG